This 354-nucleotide ribosomal RNA is filed under the name uncultured bacterium. RNAcentral describes it as "bacterial SSU rRNA". It matches the Rfam family "Bacterial small subunit ribosomal RNA", at positions 29 to 410 of the family's 1533-position model. The record is from RNAcentral.
AACGAACGCUGGCGGCAUGCCUAACACAUGCAAGUCGAACGAGACCUUCGGGUCUAGUGGCGCACGGGUGCGUAACGCGUGGGAAUCUGCCCUUGGGUUCGGGAUAACAGUUGGAAACGACUGCUAAUACCGGAUGAUGACUUCGGUCCAAAGAUUUAUCGCCCAGGGAUGAGCCCGCGUCGGAUUAGCUAGUUGGUGAGGUAAAGGCUCACCAAGGCGACGAUCCGUAGCUGGUCUGAGAGGAUGAUCAGCCACACUGGGACUGAGACACGGCCCAGACUCCUACGGGAGGCAGCAGUGGGGAAUAUUGGACAAUGGGCGAAAGCCUGAUCCAGCAAUGCCGCGUGAGUGAUG